UUGGGCGUAAGCGCGCGCAGGCGGUUCUUUAAGUCUGAUGUGAAAGCCCCCGGCUCAACCGGGGAGGGUCAUUGGAAACUGGGGAACUUGAGUGCAGAAGAGAAGAGCGGAAUUCCACGUGUAGCGGUGAAAUGCGUAGAGAUGUGGAGGAACACCAGUGGCGAAGGCGGCUCUUUGGUCUGUAACUGACGCUGAGGCGCGAAAGCGUGGGGAGCAAACAGGAUUAGAUACCCUGGUAGUCCACGCCGUAAACGAUGAGUGCUAAGUGUUGGAGGGUUUCCGCCCUUCAGUGCUGCAGCUAACGCAUUAAGCACUCCGCCUGGGGAGUACGGUCGCAAGACUGAAACUCAAAGGAAUUGACGGGGGCCCGCACAAGCGGUGGAGCAUGUGGUUUAACUCGAAGCAACGCGAAGAACCUUACCAGGUCUUGACAUCCUCUGACAAUCCUAGAGAUAGGACUUCCCCUUCGGGGGCAGAGUGACAGGUGGUGCAUGGUUGUCGUCAGCUCGUGUCGUGAGAUGUUGGGUUAAGUCCCGCAACGAGCGCAACCCUUGUCCUUAGUUGCCAGCAUUCAGUUGGGCACUCUAGGGAGACUGCCGGUGACAAACCGGAGGAAGGUGGGGAUGACGU
This 630-nucleotide ribosomal RNA is filed under the name uncultured bacterium. RNAcentral's name for it is "bacterial SSU rRNA". It matches the Rfam family "Bacterial small subunit ribosomal RNA", at positions 554 to 1185 of the family's 1533-position model. The record is from RNAcentral.